AACGAACGCUGGCGGCGUGGAUAAGACAUGCAAGUCGUACGAGAAAUCCUUGGCUUGCCAGGGAGAGUAAAGUGGCGCACGGGUGAGUAUCGCGUGGGUAAUCUACCCUUGAAUUCAGGAUAACACUUCGAAAGGGUGCUAAUACUGGAUAACAUCCUGAUGGUUUAGGCCAUAAGGAUCAAAGAUAGCCUCUAACAUGUAAGCUAUUGUUUAGGGAUGAGCCCGCGUACCAUUAGCUAGUUGGUGGGGUAAGAGCCUACCAAGGCAACGAUGGUUAGCUGGUCUGAGAGGAUGAUCAGCCACACUGGAACUGAAACACGGUCCAGACUCCUACGGGAGGCUG
This 343-nucleotide ribosomal RNA is filed under the name uncultured Pseudomonadota bacterium. Its description in RNAcentral is "bacterial SSU rRNA". It matches the Rfam family "Bacterial small subunit ribosomal RNA", at positions 29 to 351 of the family's 1533-position model. The record is from RNAcentral. Lineage: Bacteria; Pseudomonadati; Pseudomonadota.